AUGAACGCUGGCGGCGUGCCUAAUCCAUGCAAGUCGAUCGAACGGACGAGAAGCUUGCUUCUCUGAUGUUAGCGGCGGACGGGUGAGUAACACGUGGAUAACCUACCUAUAAGACUGGGAUAACUUCGGGAAACCGUAGCUAAUACCGGAUAAUAUUUUGAACCGCAUGGUUCAAAAGUGAAAGACGGUCUUGCUGUCACUUAUAGAUGGAUCCGCGCUGCAUUAGCUAGUUGGUAAGGUAACGGCUUACCAAGGCAACGAUGCAUAGCCGACCUGAGAGGGUGAUCGGCCACACUGGAACUGAGACACGGUCCAGACUCCUACGGGAGGCAGCAGUAGGGAAUCUUCCGCAAUGGGCGAAAGCCUGACGGAGCAACGCCGCGUGAGUGAUGAAGGUCUUCGGAUCGUAAAACUCUGUUAUUAGGGAAGAACAUAUGUGUAAGUAACUGUGCACAUCUUGACGGUACCUAAUCAGAAAGCCACGGCUAACUACGUG
RNAcentral lists this ribosomal RNA (496 nucleotides) under uncultured bacterium. Its description in RNAcentral is "partial 16S ribosomal RNA". It matches the Rfam family "Bacterial small subunit ribosomal RNA", at positions 29 to 507 of the family's 1533-position model. The record is from RNAcentral.